This is a long non-coding RNA of Lotus japonicus, 412 nucleotides long. RefSeq lists it as uncharacterized. The transcript has 3 exons. The record is from RefSeq and is a predicted model, not a curated record. NCBI's taxonomy places the organism in Eukaryota, Viridiplantae, Streptophyta, Magnoliopsida, Fabales, Fabaceae.
UCAUCAGUUGCUUAGUUUCCCUCUUGCAAUGCUCAUGUUUAUGAUAAGAUUGUCAGCCUAAAUCCAAUUAGGGAUAAUUGGAAUGUUCUUACCAGAGUUAUUAGGUUAUGGUGCAUUUGUGGAGGAGGACAAGUUACUGGAAUAGAGAUGAUAUUGAUGGAUGAUCAGAGCAUUUCACUCCUUUGCUAGAUCAGAUCAUAAAGUUAGAGGAAGCUCAUUUCAACAUUCAGUAUGAACAACAUUGGCUUGAGGCUCAGACAUAACGCUAGGAAAUAGUAAAUAAUGCUAUGAGCCCCAGAGCAAUUCACAAGGCCAUUGUUGAAUCAACAGCAUUAAUCGGGGCCAGCAUCCUCCAAGUUCAUCUUCUUCACCGCCUCUUUGAAAGAAAGCUUGAUAGGUAGAGAACAGCUAU